This 106-nucleotide small nuclear RNA is filed under the name Ictidomys tridecemlineatus (thirteen-lined ground squirrel). The record is from RNAcentral. Lineage: Eukaryota; Metazoa; Chordata; Mammalia; Rodentia; Sciuridae.
GUUCUGGCUUUGGCAAUGCAUAUACUAAAAUUGGAACAUACAGAGAAGAAAAGCAUGGCCCCUGCGCAAGAAUGACACAUAAAUUCAUGAAGCGUUCCAUAUUUUU